UGCGAAUUAAAGUGAAACCGCAAAGCGCUCAGUAAACCAGUUUUAAUUUACUAGAGUAAUCGCCUCACGGGGCCGUGGAUAACUGUGGUAAUUCUAGAGCUAAUACAAGCAACCAAGCCCUGACCUUAACUGGAAAGGGCGCAUUUAUUAGAUCAAAACCAAUCGCCCGGCUCGCCUGAGCGUUGGUUUGGUGACUCUAGAUAACACCUCAGUUCGCACUGUCUCCGUACUGGCGACGCAUCUUUCAAAUGCCUGACUUAUCAACUGUCGAUGGUAGACUCCUUGUCUACCAUGGUAGUUACGGGUAACGGGGAAUCAGGGUUCGAUUCCGGAGAGGGAGCCUGAGAAACGGCUACCACAUCCAAGGAAGGCAGCAGGCACGCAAAUUACCCAUUUCCAGAACGGAGAGGUAGUGACAAAAAAUAACGAUACGGGACUCUAUUGAGGCCCCGUAAUCGGAAUGAGUACACUUUAAAUCCUUUAACGAGGAUCCAUUGGAGGGCAUGUCUGGUGCCAGCAGCCGCGGUAAUUCCAGCUCCAAUAGCGUAUAUUAAAGUUGUUGCAGUUAAAAAGCUCGUAGUUGGUUUUGCGUGCCACGCUGCCGGUUCGCCGCCUGUCGGUGCAACUGGCACGCUGUGGCUCGUCCUGUCGGUGGUGAACGGGUCCCUGGCGGGUGUCUUGGGCUCCGGCCGAAGGCGCUGCCGUGGGUAACCGUUUUGCCGAAACCCUACCCGGUGCUCUUAAACGAGUGUCGAGGUAGGCCGACAAAUUCACUUUGAACAAAUUAGAGUGCUUAAAGCAGGCCUUGAUCCAGCCUGAAUAGUGGUGCAUGGAAUAAUGAAAUAGGACCUCGGUUCUGUUUUGUUGGUUUUUGGAACACAAGGUAAUGAUCAAUGUGGACAGGCGGGGGCAUACGUAUUGCGGCGUUAGAGGUGAAAUUCUUGGAUCGUCGCAAGACGCACUAGAGCGAAAGCAUUUGCCAAGUAUGUCUUAAUUGAUCAAGAACGAAAGUUAGAGGUUCGAAGGCGAUCAGAUACCGCCCUAGUUCUAACCAUAAACGAUGCCAGCCAGCGAUCCGACGUGUUCCUACUACGACACGUGCGGGCAGCUUUUUCCCGGGAAACCAAAGCUCUUGGGUUCCGGGGGAAGUAUGGUUGCAAAGCUGAAACUUAAAGGAAUUGACGGAAGGGCACCACCAGGAGUGGAGCCUGCGGCUUAAUUUGACUCAACACGGGAAACCUCACCAGGUCAGGACAUUGAAAGGAUUGACAGAUUGACAGCUCUUUCUUGAUUCAGUGGGUAGUGGUGCAUGGCCGUUCUUAGUUGGUGGAGCGAUUUGUCUGGUUAAUUCCGAUAACGAACGAGACUCUAGCCUAUUAACUAGGUGUUUACCGGUAUUACAGCUACCGGCGAUUAAUAUCCUUCUUAAGGGGACAGGCGGCUUCCAGCCGCACGAAAUUGAGCAAUAACAGGUCUGUGAUGCCCUUAGAUGUCCUGGGCCGCACGCGCGCUACACUGAAGCAAUCAGCGUGUGCCUCCCUGGCCUAACGGCUCGGGUAACCCGCUGAACCUGUUUCGUGCUAGGAAUUGGGGAUUGCAAUUAUUCCCCAUGAACGAGGAAUUCCCAGUAAGCGCGAGUCAUAAGCUCGCGUUGAUUACGUCCCUGCCCUUUGUACACACCGCCCGUCGCUACUACCGAUUGAAUGAUUUAGUGAGGUCUUCGGACCGGCGGUAAUCGGUCCGGAUCCGUCUGGAUUGACGAACGCUGGAAAGAUGACCAAACUUGAUCAUUAGAGGAA
RNAcentral lists this ribosomal RNA (1799 nucleotides) under Ptilocnemus lemur. RNAcentral describes it as "SSU rRNA". It matches the Rfam family "Eukaryotic small subunit ribosomal RNA". The record is from RNAcentral. Lineage: Eukaryota; Metazoa; Arthropoda; Insecta; Hemiptera; Reduviidae.